RNAcentral lists this ribosomal RNA (549 nucleotides) under Osteocephalus deridens. Its description in RNAcentral is "partial 16S ribosomal RNA". It matches the Rfam family "Bacterial large subunit ribosomal RNA", at positions 1819 to 2578 of the family's 2925-position model. The record is from RNAcentral. Lineage: Eukaryota; Metazoa; Chordata; Amphibia; Anura; Hylidae.
CGCCUCUUGAAUCAUUAUAAGAGGUCCAGCCUGCCCAGUGACUUUGUUCAACGGCCGCGGUAUCCUAACCGUGCGAAGGUAGCGUAAUCACUUGUCUUUUAAAUGGGGACCUGUAUGAAUGGCAUCACGAGGGUUAUACUGUCUCCUUUUUCUAAUCAGUGAAACUAAUCUUCCCGUGAAGAAGCGGGGAUAAUUUUAUAAGACGAGAAGACCCUAUGGAGCUUUAAACUUAAUAACAUAUACUGAUUCUAUUUUAACUUCCAGAAUAUUAACUUAAACUUUAGUACAAUGAUUAUUAGUUUUAGGUUGGGGUGACCGCGGAGUAAAAAUUAACCUCCACAUUGAACAGGACCUAUUCUUGAACCAAGGGCUACAACCCUAAGCACCAAUAAAUUGACAUUAAUUGACCCAAUAUUUUGAUCAACGAACCAAGUUACCCUAGGGAUAACAGCGCAAUCCACUUCAAGAGCCCCUAUCGACAAGUGGGUUUACGACCUCGAUGUUGGAUCAGGGUACCCCAGUGGUGCAGCCGCUACUAAAGGUUCGUUU